This 341-nucleotide long non-coding RNA is filed under the name Lotus japonicus. RNAcentral's name for it is "long non-coding RNA (LJAP_LNC002025)". The record is from RNAcentral. Lineage: Eukaryota; Viridiplantae; Streptophyta; Magnoliopsida; Fabales; Fabaceae.
GUUUUAAGUCAAAUUGAGUCCUUCUUAGUUCAUUUAUGCAUCUGCAUUAGUUUAGGAAUCUUAAUUUAUUUAUUUGAUCUUUUUGUUAGUUUUUAUUAGUUUUAGUUUAAGGUUAAUCCCUAUGGUCAGGUUUGAGCUAGAAUCUUAUGAGAAUAUUGGUUAUGGUCCUUUGGGGGUUCUUAUUUGCUGAAUUGAAUGAGGGGUUGAUGAGUUACCAUGAUUAAUGAGAUGUUUCCAUGAGUUACAUUGUUGUUUUGAUGGUUUCUUGAGAUGCUUUUCAGGUUUGAUAGGGUUUUGAUGGCUAAUGAUGAUGAUUGAAAGCCAAGUAAUGAGCCAUGAUG